GGAUCCAGACUUUGAUCCUGGCUCAGGAUGAACGCUGGCGGCGUGCCUAACACAUGCAAGUCGAACGGAGUUAUGAUGUGAGCGGGAAGUGCUUGCACUAAACAAUCUUUUCAUAACUUAGUGGCGGACGGGUGAGUAACGCGUGGGUAACCUGCCCUGUACUGGGGGACAACAGUUGGAAACGACUGCUAAUACCGCAUAAGCGCACGGGAUCGCAUGAUCUAGUGUGAAAAACUCCGGUGGUACAGGAUGGACCCGCGUCUGAUUAGCUGGUUGGUGAGGUAACGGCCCACCAAGGCAACGAUCAGUAGCCGGCCUGAGAGGGUGAACGGCCACAUUGGGACUGAGACACGGCCCAAACUCCUACGGGAGGCAGCAGUGGGGAAUAUUGCACAAUGGGGGAAACCCUGAUGCAGCGACGCCGCGUGAGUGAAGAAGUAUUUCGGUAUGUAAAGCUCUAUCAGCAGGGAAGAAAAUGACGGUACCUGACUAAGAAGCCCCGGCUAACUACGUGCCAGCAGCCGCGGUAAUACGUAGGGGGCAAGCGUUAUCCGGAUUUACUGGGUGUAAAGGGAGCGUAGACGGCAUGGCAAGUCUGAAGUGAAAUGCGGGGGCUCAACCCCUGAACUGCUUUGGAAACUGUCAGGCUGGAGUGCAGGAGAGGUAAGUGGAAUUCCUAGUGUAGCGGUGAAAUGCGUAGAUAUUAGGAGGAACACCAGUGGCGAAGGCGGCUUACUGGACUGUAACUGACGUUGAGGCUCGAAAGCGUGGGGAGCAAACAGGAUUAGAUACCCUGGUAGUCCACGCCGUAAACGAUGAUUACUAGGUGUUGGGGAUUAAUAAAUCCCCGGUGCCGUCGCAAACGCAAUAAGUAAUCCACCUGGGGAGUACGUUCGCAAGAAUGCAACUCAAAUGAAUUGACGG
Molecule: ribosomal RNA, 924 nt
Filed under: uncultured Bacillota bacterium
Lineage: Bacteria; Bacillati; Bacillota
Description: bacterial SSU rRNA
Rfam family: Bacterial small subunit ribosomal RNA
Source: RNAcentral